AUUGAACGCUGGCGGCAUGCUUUACACAUGCAAGUCGAACGGCAGCGCGGGCUUCGGCCUGGCGGCGAGUGGCGAACGGGUGAGUAAUGCAUCGGAACGUGCCCAGUAGUGGGGGAUAGCCCGGCGAAAGCCGGAUUAAUACCGCAUACGACCUGAGGGUGAAAGCGGGGGACCGAAAGGCCUCGCGCUCUUGGGGCGGCCGAUGUCGGGUUUGCCAGUUGGUGGGGUAAAGGCUUCCAAGGCGACGAUCCGUAGCGGGUCUGAGCGGACGACCAGCCACACGGGGACUGAGACACGGCCAAGACUCCUACGGGAGGCAGCAGUGGGGAAUUUUGGACAAUGGGGGCAAACCUGAUACAGCCAGGCCGCGUGCGGGAAGAAGGCCUUCGGGGUGUAAACCGCUUUUGUUCGGGAAGAAAUCCUUUGGGCUAAGACCCCGGGGGGAUGACGGUACCGGAAGAAUAAGCACCGGCUAACUACGUG
Molecule: ribosomal RNA, 483 nt
Filed under: uncultured bacterium
Lineage: Bacteria
Description: partial 16S ribosomal RNA
Rfam family: Bacterial small subunit ribosomal RNA
Source: RNAcentral